AUGGCUUUUGCAGCAAGAGUGUAGCACAGAUUCCUGACAUUCACCUUCUUGGGCCAGAAGCCAGGGCUGCAUCUCUGAGGCCAACUGCAGUACCCAGAGAAGAUCAAGCACAUUCUGCCCUGGCUUCAGGAGGACUCACUAACACCCUGUGCAUGUUCAGCAUGCAGUGCCUUGAACAGAAGAGUUUUCUUUGCUGGCAACCAAACAUGUAUCCUGCAGAGGUGUUUGGAGGAGUUACUGUGGUACUAUGUUAUAUAUACGAUUUAUCCACAGAUGCUAAGUAAUUGCCUCCAAGGGAGUAAAAAUCUGGAAUGCCAAUGGAUCUCAAAAUCUUUUUGGGCAGUCUCGGGUUCCCCACCAGGAGAUGCAUAUUUGGAACCAGCUUAUGUAAGACAUCAGUGGAGACAUUGGAGACAGAAUGCAGAGAGAUUAAUCCUGAUUAUUCAGGUUAAGGAGUAGACCAACUGCCAAAAGUUAUUGACACAAUGAAAACCAACCACAAUGACAAAAGAAUCAUCAAGUGUGCUUAGAAGUCAAAAAAAUCUCCCUUUGAUCGUUCUGGUGUCAUGUCAGUUGCCAGUUUGAUGGUGGGUAGUGAACUUUACCAGGGGUCAGGAAACGUGGGGCCCUGGUGCUUUUUAGCAUCACAUGAUCCCACACAUCAUAGACCUGAAGCCAAGUGACUCUACAUAUUUUGGAAGAUGCUCAUAUAUACCUAAAUCUCAUUGAGCCACUGAAAAUUAAUUAGACAUUUCUACAAGUUCAGAACAUUAAAAAAGUUAAGAUAAUUAGUGAUGUUAAAGCUGAAGAUAUUCAGAUUAAAGGUCAUGGCAUUCAUCUAACUAUUAAAAUUAGAAAUGUUUGUCUGA
This 869-nucleotide long non-coding RNA is filed under the name Homo sapiens (human). RNAcentral's name for it is "non-protein coding lnc-FHL5-1:1". The record is from RNAcentral. Lineage: Eukaryota; Metazoa; Chordata; Mammalia; Primates; Hominidae.